This 1489-nucleotide ribosomal RNA is filed under the name Lactiplantibacillus pentosus. RNAcentral's name for it is "bacterial SSU rRNA". It matches the Rfam family "Bacterial small subunit ribosomal RNA". The record is from RNAcentral. Lineage: Bacteria; Bacillati; Bacillota; Bacilli; Lactobacillales; Lactobacillaceae.
GACGAACGCUGGCGGCGUGCCUAAUACAUGCAAGUCGAACGAACUCUGGUAUUGAUUGGUGCUUGCAUCAUGAUUUACAUUUGAGUGAGUGGCGAACUGGUGAGUAACACGUGGGAAACCUGCCCAGAAGCGGGGGAUAACACCUGGAAACAGAUGCUAAUACCGCAUAACAACUUGGACCGCAUGGUCCGAGUUUGAAAGAUGGCUUCGGCUAUCACUUUUGGAUGGUCCCGCGGCGUAUUAGCUAGAUGGUGAGGUAACGGCUCACCAUGGCAAUGAUACGUAGCCGACCUGAGAGGGUAAUCGGCCACAUUGGGACUGAGACACGGCCCAAACUCCUACGGGAGGCAGCAGUAGGGAAUCUUCCACAAUGGACGAAAGACUGAUGGAGCAACGCCGCGUGAGUGAAGAAGGGUUUCGGCUCGUAAAACUCUGUUGUUAAAGAAGAACAUAUCUGAGAGUAACUGUUCAGGUAUUGACGGUAUUUAACCAGAAAGCCACGGCUAACUACGUGCCAGCAGCCGCGGUAAUACGUAGGUGGCAAGCGUUGUCCGGAUUUAUUGGGCGUAAAGCGAGCGCAGGCGGUUUUUUAAGUCUGAUGUGAAAGCCUUCGGCUCAACCGAAGAAGUGCAUCGGAAACUGGGAAACUUGAGUGCAGAAGAGGACAGUGGAACUCCAUGUGUAGCGGUGAAAUGCGUAGAUAUAUGGAAGAACACCAGUGGCGAAGGCGGCUGUCUGGUCUGUAACUGACGCUGAGGCUCGAAAGUAUGGGUAGCAAACAGGAUUAGAUACCCUGGUAGUCCAUACCGUAAACGAUGAAUGCUAAGUGUUGGAGGGUUUCCGCCCUUCAGUGCUGCAGCUAACGCAUUAAGCAUUCCGCCUGGGGAGUACGGCCGCAAGGCUGAAACUCAAAGGAAUUGACGGGGGCCCGCACAAGCGGUGGAGCAUGUGGUUUAAUUCGAAGCUACGCGAAGAACCUUACCAGGUCUUGACAUACUAUGCAAAUCUAAGAGAUUAGACGUUCCCUUCGGGGACAUGGAUACAGGUGGUGCAUGGUUGUCGUCAGCUCGUGUCGUGAGACGUUGGGUUAAGUCCCGCAACGAGCGCAACCCUUAUUAUCAGUUGCCAGCAUUAAGUUGGGCACCCUGGUGAGACUGCCGGUGACAAACCGGAGGAAGGUGGGGAUGACGUCAAAUCAUCAUGCCCCUUAUGACCUGGGCUACACACGUGCUACAAUGGAUGGUACAACGAGUUGCGAACUCGCGAGAGUAAGCUAAUCUCUUAAAGCCAUUCUCAGUUCGGAUUGUAGGCUGCAACUCGCCUACAUGAAGUCGGAAUCGCUAGUAAUCGCGGAUCAGCAUGCCGCGGUGAAUACGUUCCCGGGCCUUGUACACACCGCCCGUCACACCAUGAGAGUUUGUAACACCCAAAGUCGGUGGGGUAACCUUUUAGGAACCAGCCGCCUAAGGUGGGACAGAUGAUUAGGGUG